GAGAGGGCGCACGGCCACACUGGAACUGAAACACGGUCCAGACUCCUACGGGAGGCAGCAGUGGGGAAUUUUGGACAAUGGGGGCAACCCUGAUCCAGCCAUGCCGCGUGUCUGAAGAAGGCCUUCGGGUUGUAAAGGACUUUUGUCAGGGAGCAAAUACUGCUUGUGAAUAAUGAGCGGGAAUGAGAGUACCUGAAGAAUAAGCACCGGCUAACUACGUGCCAGCAGCCGCGGUAAUACGUAGGGUGCAAGCGUUAAUCGGAAUUACUGGGCGUAAAGCGUGCGCAGGCGGUUUUGCAAGUCUGAUGUGAAAAGCCCCGGGCUUAACCUGGGAACGGCAUUGGAGACUGCAAGGCUAGAGUACGUCAGAGGGGGGUAGAAUUCCACGUGUAGCAGUGAAAUGCGUAGAGAUGUGGAGGAAUACCGAUGGCGAAGGCAGCCCCCUGGGACGAUACUGACGCUCAUGCACGAAAGCGUGGGGAGCAAACAGGAUUAGAUACCCUGGUAGUCCACGCCCUAAACGAUGUCAAUUAGCUGUUGGGGGUUUGAAUCCUUGGUAGCGAAGCUAACGCGUGAAAUUGACCGCCUGGGGAGUACGGCCGCAAGGUUAAA
Molecule: ribosomal RNA, 612 nt
Filed under: uncultured soil bacterium
Lineage: Bacteria
Description: bacterial SSU rRNA
Rfam family: Bacterial small subunit ribosomal RNA
Source: RNAcentral